Molecule: transfer RNA, 64 nt
Filed under: Metisotoma macnamarai
Lineage: Eukaryota; Metazoa; Arthropoda; Collembola; Entomobryomorpha; Isotomidae
Description: tRNA-Phe
Source: RNAcentral
AUUUAAAUAGCUUAAAUAAGAGCGUGGUGUUGAAGGCACUAAUGUAAUUUUAUAUUUUUAAAUG